This 410-nucleotide unclassified non-coding RNA is filed under the name 'Fraxinus sogdianaBunge' witches' broom phytoplasma. Its description in RNAcentral is "partial contains 16S ribosomal RNA, 16S-23S ribosomal RNA intergenic spacer, and 23S ribosomal RNA". The stretch from base 179 to 252 matches the Rfam family "tRNA". Lineage: Bacteria; Bacillati; Mycoplasmatota; Mollicutes; Acholeplasmatales; Acholeplasmataceae. The record is from RNAcentral.
AGGCGGAUCCUUGGGGUUAAGUCGUAACAAGGUAUCCUUACCGGAAGGUGAGGAUGGAUCACCUCCUUUCUAAGGACAUACAUAUAAAAAUCAUCAUCUUCAGUUUUGAAAGACUUAGGUUAAAAUAUAAGUUUUUCUUUUUACAAAAAAAAGUGUUUCUCUUAUAUAAAAGACCAAAGGGCCUAUAGCUCAGUUGGUUAGAGCACACGCCUGAUAAGCGUGAGGUCGGUGGUUCGAGUCCACUUAGGCCCACCAAUUUUAUAUCAGGAAAUUAUUUACUUCGAAGAAAGUUCUUUGAAAGGUAGAUAAACAUGAUUUGCCUAAUUCAAUUAAAGUUGAAGAAAGUAAGGGCGUACAGUGAAUGCCUUGGCACUAAGAGCCGUGGAGGACGGAAUUCGCCUAAUCUCUAG